UACGUAGGGUGCGAGCGUUAAUCGGAAUUACUGGGCGUAAAGCGUGCGCAGGCGGUGAGCUGUGUCCGAUGUGAAAGCCCCGGGCUUAACCUGGGAAUGGCAUUGGAAACUGGCUCGCUGGAGUGUGGCAGAGGGGGGUGGAAUUCCGCGUGUAGCAGUGAAAUGCGUAGAGAUGCGGAGGAACACCGAUGGCGAAGGCAGCCCCCUGGGCUAACACUGACGCUCAGGCACGAAGGCGUGGGGAGCAAACAGG
RNAcentral lists this ribosomal RNA (253 nucleotides) under uncultured bacterium. RNAcentral's name for it is "partial 16S ribosomal RNA". It matches the Rfam family "Bacterial small subunit ribosomal RNA", at positions 524 to 776 of the family's 1533-position model. The record is from RNAcentral.